GCCGGGCGUCGUGGUGGGCGCCUGUAGUCCCAGCUACUUGGGAGGCUGAGGCAGGAGACUCGCUUGAGCCCAGGAGUUGGAGGUUGCUGUGAGCGUGAUGCCAUGGCACUCUACCCAGGGGAAUAGCUUGAGGCUCCAUCUCAAAAAAAAAAAAAAAAAAAAAAAGAAAGUAUUGUGAAGUAAAUGACAAGAGGAAGUGUCUUGUCUUUUUUUUUUUUCUUUUUCUUUUUUGAGACAGAGCCUCAAGCUGUCCCCCUGGGUAGAGUGCCGUGGCAUUACAGCUCACAGCAACCUCCAACUCCUGGGCUCAAGCGAGUCUCCUGCCUCCG
This 329-nucleotide signal recognition particle RNA is filed under the name Otolemur garnettii (small-eared galago). Its description in RNAcentral is "Metazoan signal recognition particle RNA". It matches the Rfam family "Metazoan signal recognition particle RNA". Rfam says of the family: The signal recognition particle (SRP) is a universally conserved ribonucleoprotein. It is involved in the co-translational targeting of proteins to membranes. The eukaryotic SRP consists of a 300-nucleotide 7S RNA and six proteins: SRPs 72, 68, 54, 19, 14, and 9. The record is from Rfam by way of RNAcentral. Lineage: Eukaryota; Metazoa; Chordata; Mammalia; Primates; Galagidae.